This 232-nucleotide ribosomal RNA is filed under the name uncultured bacterium. RNAcentral describes it as "partial 16S ribosomal RNA". It matches the Rfam family "Bacterial small subunit ribosomal RNA", at positions 118 to 350 of the family's 1533-position model. The record is from RNAcentral.
UGGGCAACCUGCCCCUCUCUCUGGGAUAACCCCGGGAAACCGGAGCUAAUACCGGAUACUCCGGCUGGAUCGCAUGGUCCGGCCGGGAAAGGUCCGCCGGAGAGGGAUGGGCCCGCGGCCUAUCAGCUUGUUGGCGAGGUCACGGCUCACCAAGGCGACGACGGGUAGCCGACCUGAGAGGGUGAUCGGCCACAUUGGAACUGAGACACGGUCCAGACUCCUACGGGAGGCA